UUGGGUUUAUUUUGCGCAGAAUAGGUGGGAGGCUAAGAUAAUAUAUUUGAGGAUAUAUAGGAGCCACCAGUGAGAUACCACUCUAAGUAAACUAGAAUUCUAACCUUGAAAGCCGUUAACCGGCCAAGGAACAGUUUCAGGCGGGCAGUUUGACUGGGGCGGUCGCCUCCUAAAAGGUAACGGAGGCGUACAAAGGUUUUCUCAGGCUGGUCAGAAAUCAGUUGCAGAGUAUAAAGGCAUAAGAAAGCUUGACUGCAAGACCUACAAGUCGAGCAGAGACGAAAGUCGGUCUUAGUGAUCCGACAGUUCUGAGUGGAAAGGCUGUC
RNAcentral lists this ribosomal RNA (326 nucleotides) under Eucheuma denticulatum. RNAcentral's name for it is "bacterial LSU rRNA". It matches the Rfam family "Bacterial large subunit ribosomal RNA", at positions 2123 to 2446 of the family's 2925-position model. The record is from RNAcentral. Lineage: Eukaryota; Rhodophyta; Florideophyceae; Gigartinales; Solieriaceae.